AACUUUCAGCAUUGGAUGUCUAGGUUCCCACAACGAUGAAGAACGCAGCGAAAUGCAAUACGUAAUGCAAAUUGCAAGACCUAACGCACAUUGCUUUCGGGAUUUUCCAGGUAGCAUGCUUGUCUGAGUGUCU
RNAcentral lists this ribosomal RNA (133 nucleotides) under Fragilariopsis cylindrus CCMP1102. RNAcentral describes it as "5.8S ribosomal RNA". It matches the Rfam family "5.8S ribosomal RNA". From Rfam's summary of the family: 5.8S ribosomal RNA (5.8S rRNA) is a component of the large subunit of the eukaryotic ribosome. It is transcribed by RNA polymerase I as part of the 45S precursor that also contains 18S and 28S rRNA. The record is from Rfam by way of RNAcentral. Lineage: Eukaryota; Bacillariophyta; Bacillariophyceae; Bacillariales; Bacillariaceae.